AUUUUGCAUAACUAGCAACUCUAAAAUAAACACUGUAGGCAUAACCUUUAAUGCAUAACCUUCCAUGUUUUUUUUCGUAUCACCCUAUACCUUGCUGGCUUUAUUCUUCCAUCACAUUAUUGACUACCGAUGCACUUUGCAUUAGAGGUUAGGUAUAAUGUUUCUAUAGAAAGGUGUAGAUAUACAGUAGUGAGGAUAUUUUUAAAAUAUCAUACAGUAUAUGCCCUAUAAUACCUUUUUAAAUUGAGCAUAUGAGAUCCCUAUCAGCUACUGUAUAUCCUUUAUUACAGUAUCUGCAAUUAAUCUGCUUUUUUUAAACCAGCUUUGCUAUUUAUCAGUUCAGUUGUUAGAGCAUAUCUGCUUGGAAUUUUUUAUUAAACUGGGCAUUACGAUUUGAGCCAAAAAUUAUUUUGUUAUAAAACGAAUAACAUUAAUGUAUUGAAAUUGUCUCUUAUCGUGUCUGUAUCACUUUCAGAUGACCUUAUUAUUCACCUUCCUCUGUAUCCAUAUGUGGCAUUCAUUUGUUAUGAGAUGAACAUUCCAUGUCUUAUGUUUGAAUAGUUCAGUGUCAGGAUGCAUUUGGAAUGUAAUGUCAACUAUGAAAUCCAUAUUUUAAAUAGGAGCCCAUUAUUUUGCUGAGAGAACUGUAUCAGCUAUUGUGUCACAAUUAUGUGCAUGUUGCUUUAUAAAGCUCAGUCCUAAAUUUGUAUUAUGGGCUAAAGCCACCUGAGCAUAUAUGUCCAAUGCAACUUUUAUGUUGACAUACUAGGGAUAACAAAAAAAAAUUAUCAACAUUUUUAAAAUGUAUCCUUUGAAGUUCUUUGGGACCAGAAGUGACAAAUGCUAAAAUGAAACUGCUUUAUAUUCUUUUUAGAGCCAGAACUACCAGGAACCAGAAAUAUUUCUUAAUUAAAACAAUAAACAAAAAGAUGUUCAGCUCAAGCCCUAUUCAUUAAACUAAAGUAAAAAAGGGAUGUAUCCCUUGAAAAUUAGACUUUGCCUUGCCAAGGCCUCUGACUAGGGUAUACUUUCUUGAUCAAAGCUAACUACUGUAUCUAUGGGGAUGUUUUCAUUAAAAAUAGCUAAAUGGUACACAAACCAUCCAUGGAUCUUUCUUGGUAGUCCAGAGAAUGUAUUUUUGAAUUGUAUUAUUUUACCCAUGCUUGUAUUUACCGGAAAUGAGAGAAAGGAUAAAUCAUGUUUUUCACCUGGCCAGACUCUCAAAUAUGUUCUUAAAUAUACAUUUUACUGAAUAGCAAUUGUUUUCUAUAUAUAUAUGUUGUUUAAAUAAUAAUCAUACUUUAAGGUUUACAAAUAGAAUUACAACACUUUUGGUAAAUGAUAUGCAAUUUUCAGAUCUUAACUUCUUCCUAUGGUUAUUUAAACCAAUACAAAUAAACAGGUACUUUGAUAUGAUAUUUGGAGAUGUGUCUUGUGUACUCAAGUACUGUGCUAUGCUGGUUUAUUUACAGAAGUAACAUAAACCCAUUACUUUUCUAUGUCUGCACAAAAUAUAUCAGUUUUAAGCUACUAUAACAGUAUCUAUUACCAUAUUAUCCUAUGGUAAUCAUUGCCGGGGUGCUUUACUAAACAAAGGACUAAAGAAUGGGUCUUUCAGUAUAAUAUAAGAAUGUUUCUAUACAGAAAAGGCCAAUGUAAUUAAAUAGAAUCAUGAAGGUUCUAUUGUAAAGUGAACUAAUAUGAUUUUUUUUUCUUUUUUUGUAUACAUUGAUUCAUAAGAAAUGCUAAAUUUCUCAACAAGUAAAAAUCUGGGGCCUAUGAUCUGAUAUGCAAGUUUCCGAAAAUCAGACAAUUUUAAUCCCUCUGCUGUGUUUGAAUGUAAGCCUCCUGUUAUGCUUCUGUAAGCUGAAAUUUUGUAUCAUGGUAAAGACAGAUUGUGUUUGUACUAAAAUAGAUUUCAGUGUUCUACACUUUCUCAAUAUCCAUUUGACAGUAUAUACACCAUUAAAGUGGCAUAUGAGUUUUCACACACACGACAAAAAAAAGUGAAAAAAAACCAGAAACCAAUAUUUUAUGUUAUUAUGCAGUCAGGUUCAUUUUCAACAAAUCUUAUUGGCAGGCAGGAUAUUCAGAGUUUAUUUUCAGAUCCAUCAACAGUAUAAGUUUUAAGGAUGACUUGUUGAUGCUUUAGCCUCUUAGUGAUUUUGACAGUUCUAACACAGCUAAAGACAGAACCACCUGUGCUUUUAUGAAAAUACACAGUAUUUAUUAGGAAUAUAAUGUGUGCUUAUAAGAUUAUUGUGUAAAAAAACAUGUUGUAAAUAUUUUCAAAGAAGUGAUAGGUUACGGCUAGUGAUGGUCUUGUCUAGAGGUGAAAAACUUCUCCAUAAAGGUGGUGGAGAAGAGCUUUAAUUUGUAUACUGUAUUCGAACAACCAUUAUAAUGUUGUUGUUUUUAUGCCAUGCAUGUGAACUUUAACUAUUCAUAAACAACAUCUCCCAUUAUCUUCAGGGAGCUGCACUUGUGCUAUGUCUGGGGAGCCAUACGUCAUAGUAUGAUGUGACUAUAUAAUUUAAAGGGUUAAGUCGUACAAGCAAUAGAGUGAUAGUAUUAGUCAGGUUACUUUGGAUUUAGCAUAGUUAAGUAGGUAUUUACUGAAUGGUCUAUGCUAUAAUGAAGGGAUAAUUGCCAGGCUCCAUAUGGAAGCUUAUUUGCUAUAUUAAAUGUAUUUGCUCAAUUUUCCUUUUAGUUUAUGAUAAUUCUUGUGAAAAGCUUUGAGCCAUUGUGCUGAAUUAGAAAAAAAAUCUUGGAUUCCUUUGACUCAGGACUGUCUACAUCAGUAUUUACUAAUAUCAGUAACAGACAUUGGUAAUUUACAGACACUUGCAAAAUUACUUUUUGCAACCUAAUUUUUUUGGAACUAGGAAUGUGACUGAUUCACACACCAUUUUUAGGAUAUUCUCUCAUCACAAGACAUAAAUGCCUCUCUGAAUUACAUAUAUAUGAAAAUGAUUGGAAUAAAAAGGUCUUUUGCAACUUUAACCUCAUAGUUUCAGUUUUAAGUGCCACCAAUGCACUUAUGGCAACAGCUGCCUAUGCAAUCUUUUAAGUGCUCUAAUCAACUGAUGAUAGAUUCUUUAGCUACUCACAUGGUGCCUGAAAUUUUUGACAGUGUGAACAACUUAUACAAAUAUAUAUUUGCAUGCACAAAAUGUUGAAAUUAUUCAAAGGUACGGUUUCCUCUUUAAUUGUCAACCUCUGAAUCAUGUUUUGGUUGUUCAGAAUGUGUAUCAUAAAUAUAUCAUAAAAAUAAAUGUAUCAUAAAUAACAUGCCCUGGUAAAGAGUUCAGGGAAUGAGAAUGAAAAUGAUUCACUAUGACAAUGAGCUCAUAUAUUUUCAAAAAAAAAAAAAAACACUAAUGGAGCAUCUACAAUAAAAUUUCAUUUUUCCAUUUUCCUUUGUUUUAAUUUUUUUUAAUGGAAACCCUCAGUGCAAGGUUGCCAACAUUUGUGGUUCCUGUCAGUAGUUUGGAAAGAAGCACAAAUCAUUUAAGGCUUCUUGUAGUGAUAUCAAGAACAACAUCUAGAUUGUCCAGAUGGCACAUAAUUUAGAAAGACUGUGCUGAGCAAUUGUUGGAAAGUGUUAUUACUAUUAGCCAGGGUGGCUGAUUAAAAACAAAGCUUAGACAAAGCCGAGUCUGCUAUGAGUGGCAAAUGAAAUAUUUUUACUAUCAACUGGUAGAAGUCAAAAAGAACACUACAUUUUCGUAACCUAGACAUAUAGGUUUAACGUUCCCUUUGUGUAAAAUGAUUGGUGAUUUUUCAGCCUCUUAUGCUCUUUUACUUUUCCUUGGGCAAACUUUUGUUUUACAUUGUAGUAAGACAAAACAGAGGCACCAAAAGGAUGUUUUGUUUUACAUUGGAAAACGGAAUAUUGUUUUUUUGGGGACAACAUCAGGUUUGUAAGCGUGCCUGAAUUACUGUGAAAUUUCAAUUUUGGGCUUGAUUCAAUCCAAUGCGAUGUGGUACAUUUUGUAUGAUAAGUGCGCCUUUUCGGAUGUCCGCUAUGCGCUAAACACGUAUUGCAUUAAUCUAUAUAUCUUUCCGUUACCUAUGUUUUCACUACCUAACGGCUUAUUGGAAGCGGCGGGAACGCUUUCUUUUCGCAAUUCAAUUUAACUCAAAACCACUUACCUAGUGAAGUCUUUUGCGUUAUCUUCCUGUUUCCCUUACACAACCUUGACCUGGCGGAACUUUCUCCUACAGCUGAAGCCUUUUAGCCCUCUUUCCAUCUACUGUUCUGACACAUGCUCCUUAUCGCACACAUUUUUAAAGGAAGUUACAGCUACGCCAAUGCAUAUUUCAUUCAUAUUUUCAAUUUUUCUAUUGGUUUUUAAAGAUAUAUUUAUUAAAAAUAUAUGACCUAUGUGUCUUAUUUUUAUUUAUUCCAUUUUCAUUCAUGUCUUUAUGUUUUUAAAUAAGUGUGUGUGUGUAACACUUGACUAGUACUGCAUCACUUUAUUUCAUUGGGAUGAAUGUUUUUGCAACCUUCCCUGGAAGCACAAGCGACUCAUAUUCUGCGUCAUUCAUCAGUCAACAGGCAUUUUGAAUCUGGUCAAUGAAGUGGUGGUUGGCUUGUAGUGGACAAUCAUCUAUUGAGGGAUCUACAAUUACCUGAAGCUAUUUAAGGUGAUUAGCAACAUGAAGAUCCUCCUGUUCAUCCCACAGAUCAGGCCAACGUGGGAACCAGGUCCGGCAGCAAAUCAUUCAUGGAUACUUCUCUUGAAUUGUUGAAAGAUUGGAAUGCCUUAUCGGACACAUGGUAUGGGUCCAGCUCACCUUCAGAAUGGUCAUAUUCUGAUGGUUCCUGAUUCUUCUCUGGCUCAUCUGAAAAUACAGCAUCAUCAUGUGAUUGUGCUUCUGCUUCGUCACAUUACAGGAUGACUUGUAUUGUCAACAUUUUUUUAGUAUAGAUUGUUGGAUUAUCAACAAUUUAAUAAUCCAUUCAUUCAAUAAAGAUGUUGGAUUAUUUUGUUC
This is a long non-coding RNA of Xenopus laevis (African clawed frog), 4998 nucleotides long. RefSeq lists it as uncharacterized. The transcript is spliced from 3 exons. NCBI's taxonomy places the organism in Eukaryota, Metazoa, Chordata, Amphibia, Anura, Pipidae. The record is from RefSeq and is a predicted model, not a curated record.